This 253-nucleotide ribosomal RNA is filed under the name uncultured bacterium. RNAcentral describes it as "partial 16S ribosomal RNA". It matches the Rfam family "Archaeal small subunit ribosomal RNA", at positions 474 to 727 of the family's 1478-position model. The record is from RNAcentral.
UACCAGCACCCCGAGUGGUCGGGACGAUUAUUGGGCCUAAAGCAUCCGUAGCCGGUUCUGCAAGUCCCCCGUUAAAUCCAGCUGCUCAACAGAUGGGCCGCGGAGGAUACUACAGAGCUAGGAGGCAGGAGAGGCAAGCGGUACUCAGUGGGUAGAGGUAAAAUCCGUUGAUCCAUUGAAGACCACCAGUGGCGAAGGCGGCUUGCCAGAAUGCGCUCGACGGUGAGGGAUGAAAGCUGGGGGAGCAAACCGG